GCCGGCGUAGCUCAGUUGGUAGAGCAGCCCACUUGUAAUGGGCAGGCCGUGGGUUCGAUCCCUGCCGCCGGCACCA
Molecule: transfer RNA, 76 nt
Filed under: Neoroseomonas terrae
Lineage: Bacteria; Pseudomonadati; Pseudomonadota; Alphaproteobacteria; Acetobacterales; Acetobacteraceae
Description: tRNA-Thr
Rfam family: tRNA
About the family: Transfer RNA (tRNA) molecules are approximately 80 nucleotides in length. Their secondary structure includes four short double-helical elements and three loops (D, anti-codon, and T loops).
Source: RNAcentral